This 460-nucleotide ribosomal RNA is filed under the name uncultured bacterium. RNAcentral describes it as "partial 16S ribosomal RNA". It matches the Rfam family "Bacterial small subunit ribosomal RNA", at positions 338 to 795 of the family's 1533-position model. The record is from RNAcentral.
CCUACGGGUGGCAGCAGUGAGGAAUAUUGGUCAAUGGGCGGGAGCCUGAACCAGCCAAGCCGCGUGAGGGAAGAAGGUACAGCGUAUCGUAAACCUCUUUUGUCAGGGAACAAAGGCGGGGACUAGUCCCCGGAUGAGUGUACCUGAAGAAAAAGCAUCGGCUAACUCCGUGCCAGCAGCCGCGGUAAUACGUAGGGGGCGAGCGUUAUCCGGAUUCACUGGGUGUAAAGGGAGCGUAGACGGCCAUGCAAGCCAGGGGUGAAAGCCCGGGGCCCAACCCCGGGACUGCCCUUGGAACUGCAUGGCUGGAGUGUGGGAGGGGCAGGCGGAAUUCCUGGUGUAGCGGUGAAAUGCGUAGAUAGCAGGAGGAACACCGGCGGCGAAGGCGGCCUGCUGGACCGCGACUGACGUUGAGGCUCGAAAGCGUGGGGAGCGAACAGGAUUAGAUACCCCGGUAGUC